UUAGUUGUAAUUAUAAAAUUAGAAUUAGUAUUAGUUAUGUUCUUUAAAAUUAAAGAUUUUGGCGGUAUUUUAGUCUAUUCAGAGGAACCUGUUCUGUAAUUGAUAGUCCACGAUAAAUUUAACUUAUUUUAUUAGUUUGUAUAAUGUCGUAGAUGAAUAUUUUAAAAGAAUUUAAAUAUUCAAUAUUUAUAAUUUUAAUUAAAAUCAGAUCAUGUUGCAGCUUAUAAAUAAGAAGAAAUGGGUUACAAUAUAAUUAUAUAAAUGGAUAAAGAAUUGAAAAUUUUUUUGAAAGUGGAUUUGAAAGUAAUUAAUUAUAUUUAUUUUUAAUGAUUUGAGCUCUAAAAUAUGU
Molecule: ribosomal RNA, 349 nt
Filed under: Mycetina amabilis
Lineage: Eukaryota; Metazoa; Arthropoda; Insecta; Coleoptera; Endomychidae
Description: partial 12S ribosomal RNA
Source: RNAcentral